UCAGCGGGUAGCCCUGCCUAAUUCGAGAUCUAGCAUAGAAUCCCGCCGUGCAUCGGCGGCGGCGGCCUCCCCCUAGGGCGCAUCCGGCCCCCCCGAGGCAGCACGCCGACUGCGCAUGCCUUUGGGGCAUGUCGGCGGCAGCGCGCGACAAGCCCAACGCAGAGCCAGCGCUCUCGGACAGCAAAUGAUGCUCGAAUAGGCAUGCCUGCUAGCGAGCUAGCAGGCGCAAUAUGCGUUCAAAGAUUCGAUGGUUCACGGAGUUCUGCAAUUCACACUACAUAUCGCAGUUUGCUACGUUCUUCAUCGAUGCUAGAGCCU
Molecule: unclassified non-coding RNA, 318 nt
Filed under: uncultured fungus
Lineage: Eukaryota; Fungi
Description: partial contains 5.8S ribosomal RNA and internal transcribed spacer 2
Source: RNAcentral